RNAcentral lists this ribosomal RNA (308 nucleotides) under uncultured archaeon. RNAcentral describes it as "bacterial SSU rRNA". It matches the Rfam family "Archaeal small subunit ribosomal RNA", at positions 526 to 833 of the family's 1478-position model. The record is from RNAcentral.
CGGUUUAAUAAGUCUUUGGUGAAAUCCUGUAGCUUAACUAUGGGAAUUGCUGAGGAUACUGUUAGGCUUGAGGUCGGGAGAGGUUAGCGGUACUCCCAGGGUAGGGGUGAAAUCCUGUAAUCCUGGGAGGACCACCUGUGGCGAAGGCGGCUAACUGGAACGAACCUGACGGUGAGGGACGAAAGCUAGGGGCGCGAACCGGAUUAGAUACCCGGGUAGUCCUAGCCGUAAACGAUGCGGACUGGGUGUUGGGAUGGCUUUGAGCUGUUCCGGUGCCGAAGGGAAGCUGUUAAGUCCGCCGCCUGGGA